UGGGGAAUAUUGCGCAAUGGGCGAAAGCCUGACGCAGCGACGCCGCGUGAGGGAUGAAGGCCUUCGGGUUGUAAACCUCUUUCAGCAGGGACGAAAACAGACGGUACCUGCAGAAGAAGCACCGGCCAACUACGUG
Molecule: ribosomal RNA, 136 nt
Filed under: uncultured bacterium
Lineage: Bacteria
Description: partial 16S rRNA
Rfam family: Bacterial small subunit ribosomal RNA
Source: RNAcentral